This 498-nucleotide ribosomal RNA is filed under the name uncultured bacterium. Its description in RNAcentral is "partial 16S ribosomal RNA". It matches the Rfam family "Bacterial small subunit ribosomal RNA", at positions 30 to 523 of the family's 1533-position model. The record is from RNAcentral.
AUUGAACGCUGGCGGCAUGCUUUACACAUGCAAGUCGAACGGUAACAGGCCGCAAGGUGCUGACGAGUGGCGAACGGGUGAGUAAUGCAUCGGAACGUGCCCAGUCGUGGGGGAUAACGCAGCGAAAGCUGCGCUAAUACCGCAUACGAUCUAUGGAUGAAAGCGGGGGCCCGUAAGGCCUCGCGCGAUUGGAGCGACCGAUGUCAGAUUAGGUAGUUGGUGGGGUAAAGGCUCACCAAGCCAACGAUCUGUAGCUGGUCUGAGAGGACGACCAGCCACACUGGGACUGAGACACGGCCCAGACUCCUACGGGAGGCAGCAGUGGGGAAUUUUGGACAAUGGGCGCAAGCCUGAUCCAGCAAUGCCGCGUGCAGGAAGAAGGCCUUCGGGUUGUAAACUGCUUUUGUACGGAACGAAACGGUCCUGGUUAAUACCCGGGGCUAAUGACGGUACCGUAAGAAUAAGCACCGGCUAACUACGUGCCAGCCGCCGCCGUAA